This 395-nucleotide ribosomal RNA is filed under the name uncultured bacterium. Its description in RNAcentral is "partial 16S ribosomal RNA". It matches the Rfam family "Bacterial small subunit ribosomal RNA", at positions 523 to 918 of the family's 1533-position model. The record is from RNAcentral.
AUACGUAGGGUGCAAGCGUUAAUCGGAAUUACUGGGCGUAAAGCGUGCGCAGGCGGUUUUGUAAGACAGUGGUGAAAUCCCCGGGCUCAACCUGGGGACUGCCAUUGGGACUGCAAAGCUGGAGUGCGGCAGAGGGGGAUGGAAUUCCCCGUGUAGCAGUGAAAUGCGUAGAUAUGCGGAGGAACACCGAUGGCGAAGGCAAUCCCCUGGGCCUGCACUGACGCUCAUGCACGAAAGCGUGGGGAGCAAACAGGAUUAGAUACCCUGGUAGUCCACGCCCUAAACGAUGUCAACUGGUUGUUGGGGAUUUAUUUUCUCAGUAACGAAGCUAACGCGUGAUGUUGACCGCCUGGGGAGUACGGCCGCAAGGUUAAAACUCAAAUGAAUUGGCGGGG